Molecule: long non-coding RNA, 203 nt
Filed under: Elaeis guineensis (African oil palm)
Lineage: Eukaryota; Viridiplantae; Streptophyta; Magnoliopsida; Arecales; Arecaceae
Description: long non-coding RNA (EGUI_LNC037808)
Source: RNAcentral
CCUCUACUUUGCAUGCAUGCCAAACUCUGUAGAAGAGAGGGAUGAACAUCUUCUUCGGAGAAGAAGGAGAAGUAUCCUUGAGAUCUGAUCUCAAGGUUUUAGAGCAACCUACAUGCCACCAUGCCAAGAGGAGGGAGGAUGGCCUAGAAGAGAGAUAAGCCCAAAGAGAGUACACACCGAAAAAAGAGGGGACGCCCACACCA